GUUUGACUCUUUAGUAAAAGAGAGUCACACUGCAGAGGUUUCUAGACUCCGUCUGGAAAAAGAAGUGUUCAAAUAAAGUCUGUAACCUCAUACUACAAAAGCUACAGAGUUAAAACCUGGUAUUCGAGAGUAAUUUACUUACCUGCUCCGGUGCCAGUGAGAAAGUGGGAAGCCUGAGAAGCUUAAAGGUACCUCAGCCUGGUUGCUCGCUGUUCCUGGGGUCCCUCAGCGGCUUCCGUGGGUCCUUUCUUUGGAAACCAGAACUGUUAAGAGAUAAACUGAGGAAUAUUAAAAAAAAUCAAAUAUUUAUAUGAGCGAAAAUUUAUUUGAAUCGGCAGUGCCUAACUGGAAGCGAUUAGCAGCGCUACACCUGACAGGAGCUUCGAGAGCAAGGAGAAAGCAGAAGAAGCAAAGUAAGAAAAUUACUAAUUUGCUAUAGCUGGUCGCCUGGCUGGCCUUUUGACUUGGUUAUCCUUAGCAUUUUGACUUUGUAACUUUGAAGCAUUUACAGGCUUAUAUUUUGGUUUGCUUACAGUGGGCAGCCAAGUUAUUAGAGCUACAUCAAUGAAUUGCCUCCCUGUUUAAUUAAUAUAACAGACCACAUUUAACGUUAGUUCCCCAUCACUGACUUUCAAAGCAGGAUUUAGAUUUUGCUUUAGGCAAUUCUAGUCUAAAUAAAUGUAUAGCAAGCAGCAGAAAUAAAAGCAUUUUUGACUUCUGGAAAUAGGUGAUGAUAGUGGCUAUGUUUUUUUUGUUUGUUUUCUAAUUUAAGUCAUCUUUCAAGAAAGAAAAAAAGUCGAAAGAACCACCAAAAAUAGUUCUUUAAUUAUUAUUGUCUUUUUCAUAAUUUGACUUUUUUGUGAGUGAAGUUGAAAAGAAAAUUAAAAUUUUACGCUUAAUUAUUUCAUUUUACAGGAAAUAGAAAUUCUUAGCAAACUAAUAGAGGGCAAAGCAUGAGAAAUAUUUUCAUAACUAGUAAUACUAAUGUACCAAUAUUAGUAAUUCAUUUUUUAUAAAAGAAAUUCCAUAUAUAAGCCCUAUGUGGUAGUAGUCAAAAUGAUUCUAAUGAAGUAAACAAUGAUUCUUCUCAAAAUAUAUAACUUGCUCAUACAUAUGCAUGGGUUGUUAUCUCUGUGUAAUUGUUUUUCCAUAAUAAAAACAGUACUUUAAUAUCCAUAAGGAACACUGCCUUUGCCUCUUGAUGCUGAAUUUGAUUCAUAUUCGUAUUUAAAAGUCUUUGGAAUCAAAACUGCAUAUAUGUUUCAACCUGUUGUUUCACUGUUGGCUCCCUGAUGGAAAGAAAUGAGACUCUCUUGUUCAUCUUUGAAAUUACAGAAAAAUUAGGAAAGUAUUUCACAAAGUAAAAACUUAUUAAUUUCUUGUUGACUUUUAUAGAUGAAGUGAUCAAUUUAGGUAUAACACUUUUUCACCAUACUAGAUAGCUUUAUAAUAAAAGAAUAUGACUGAUUUUCCUACAUUCAUUAAAAGGAAAGAAAAAAAUAAGACUACAACUAUCUAAGGAGUACUAUGCAUAAAAGUAAAAACAACUGCUAAGCAAAUUAUACUACUACUAUCUAUUUAUAUUUUUUCUUUGUCUCUUUUUCUUUAUAUCACCAUAUUUCUCUAUAUCACUAUGUUGGUAUGUCAUGUAUUUUUAUUAAUAGAAAAUGCAAAUGUUAUGAAUAUUCUGUUUAUUGAACACUUUUUAUUUAUACAUUAUAUACAUUUUACCCUAGCAUUAAUUUUUAUUGCUUAUUAUUUUUACUAAUUUGUAGUCUCUAUAUACUAAAUUUGCCUCACCAAACCCCUAUUGAUGAAGACUAGGAUGUCUCCACAUUUUCAGAAACCAGGAUGCUUAUGUUUUAUAUAGCUGUCUAUGACAAAUACAUAAAUUAAUAUGUCAAAUACAAAAUAAUGACAAAUAUAUAUUUGCAUUAUAAAAUUCUUUGACAGGAGUUCCCGUCACAGCUUAGUGGUUAACGAAUCUGACUAGGAACCAUGAGGUCGUGGGUUCAAUCCCUCGUUAAGAGUCCGGUGUUGCCGUGAGCUGUGGUGUAGGUUGCAGAUGUGGCUCGGAUCCCAUGUUGCUGUGGCUCUGGUGUUGGCAUGUGGCUAUAGCUCCAAUUAGACCCCUACCCUGGGCACCUCCAUAUGUUGCCAGAGCAGCUCUAGGAAGUGGCAAAAAGACAAAAAUAAAUAAAUAAAUAAAUCUUUGACAAAUAUAUAAAAUAUGGUAGUGUAUAAAUACAUAAAAUAUUAAAAGUAUAUAUAAUUAUUCCUUUAAGAAAAAUUUAGAAAAGCAUCUAAUCAGUCAAACAUUAUAAGGGUGUUAAGGUUUUCAAAAAUGUGUAGUUAACAUACUUUUGAAUUUUUAUCCUGUUAUAUCUUUACCACUUUGUACAAUGGAAUAGGAAUGUGUCUGGAAAAGGAUACAAACUCUUUUGAAAUAAUGAGUAAAUAUUCAUCUAAGCCAUCAUUAGGAGACACCUCAGAAGAGAGGUUAUAUAAAUGUUGGUGUCCUUGGCAUAUUGUUAAAUAAACAAUUAUUUAAAUGCAAUUAAAACAGUUAAGAUGAAAAAUAUUAUCUAAGUAGAAAGAUUCUCCUGAAGAGAAAAGAUGAUUUCAGAUAAUGGUCUAAGCAAUUCUACCAUAUAUGCUUAGGUACAGGAAGAGAAGUCUUUAAGGAAGAAAGAAGGAAAACCCAUAGGUGUAGGAGAAAAACAGAAAAUUGAGAUGUCACUAAAGAAGGAACUCAGGAAAGAGGAAAUGGCAAGUGGUAUCACCCAAAAUUUAUUUAGCAUUAAAGAAGCUAUUGUCAACUACCUGGAAAAUGGUACAAAACUGAAAAUUGUGAGGGUUGCAAUCCGGUGGACAAAAUAGAUAAUCAAAUAAGGGAAUAAUAUUCUGAUAAAUUGAUAUUUAAAAUGUGAGGUGCCAUUAAAAUGGUCACAAGGAUAAAAUUUUAUAAAGUUGUUUAUGUUUAAAAUUCUUGAAUAUUUAGAGAAGACACAGAUGGAAAGCAUCCCUUGGGUUUGGUGACAUGACUUUGAUUAAUUAUAUCUAUAAGAAUGAUUUCAGUAAAGUGGUUGAAUUUAAGUUUCAUAGGAAGGGGAUUGCAGAAUAAGAUUUAAUGGGAGAGAAGUAUGUAGAACUUAUUUUAAAUAUUAGUGAAGAGAAGGAUGAAAUAAAGUAAUAGUAUUGUCAGUGGUAUGAGUUUCCUAAUAAUUUUGUAAAACAUGUAGUAAGGGUAAUAGAUUGCAUACAUUAAAAGAUCAUUAUACUCGAGAUGUCAGAAUGAGUGGAGGAGGUGGUCCUCAGAGACAUGGAGGUAAUGGACUUGAGAAUUGGUUAUGAAUUCUUGUGGAAAAGAAAAUGAUAGGAGAAUGAUUUAGGAUCUUCGAAGAGACUGCAGAUGAGUGACCAAGUCUGAAGUGAGUGUGUGUGUGUGUGUGUGUGUGUGUGUGUGUGUGUGUGUGUUGGGGGGAAGGUAUUGGAUGCAGAAAUACUUUAGGUAAAUAUACUUUAUUCCCUUUUGAUAGUAAUAUUUUCUAAGUAAUUUGUUUUUUAUGAAAUUAGCCUUCCUAAAGACAAUAUGCAUAAUAUUCCAAUUCCUCCAUAAAUAAAAAUAAUUGCACAGAGAUAACACCCAACAGGAAGAAAUAUUAUAGAUCAUACAGUGAUUGAAAUGAUCUCUGAUUCAUUGUGUAAGUUGUAAAUACUCUGCUAAAUUGACUAUUAGACAAACCUGGAGUUAAUAGUAAAAGCUUGGUUGGAAAUGUGUUCCUUCUAAAGAAAUGUUCUCAUUUAAUUUUCAUCUCUGUUUGAGAAGUACUAGAAAAAACAACCAUUAAAAAAAACACUAUGAUGUUACCUUUUUAUCUCAAAAUCAUCCUAAUUAUGGCUCAUAUUUUGAGCAAUAUUCAGUAACUGUCAUCACUGCAAUUUGUUUGACAGCAGUGAGGCUGCAGAAGGCAGAUAAAAUACUUGUCUUGUUAUUAGACACACUAUAGAGUUUUAUUGCAACAUAAAUAAAAUUUGUCAUUUCUGAUUUUUUAAAAUAUCUUCUUUCUUCCCAAAUUGACAACCACUAAUACAUUUUUAAUGAAGAAACAUGUUCUACUAUUUUAUAUUAUCAUUAUUUUUUAAAGAAAUGCCAAAAAGUUUAAUAUUGUACACAUACAUGGUUUUCCAACCAGUUUAAGAUAUAAAGCACACACUCCCCAACUUAGGUUCUUUCCUCUUCAUUUCUCCCCCAACCAAGGAUGGUAUUAUUACAUUUUCCUAUGUGUCUUCAGACUUUUAAUACAUAUGAAUAUAUCUACGUAUAUUUUAUUUUUUGCGUCAUAGAUUUUAAAGUUAAAUACUUCAUAACAAUGUUUUUGUGUAAUUUGUUUUUUCAGUUAAUUAGUUUAUGACAUUUAUCUGUGUUGAUAGUUUAACUCAAGUAUGUAUUUUCAUCAAUUAUUAGUAUUUUAUUGUAUAGUUUAACUUUAAACAAUGCUAAAAUUGGGGCACUGACCUCCUGUGCAGUUGAAAAAAUCUGCAUAUACCUUUUGACUCCCCCCUGCCAUAUUUUAGUAGUAGCCUACUGUUGACCAGAAGCCUUACUGAUAGCAUAGGCAGCCAAUUAAAAAUAUUUUGUGGAGUUCCCAUCGUGGCGCAGUGGUUAACAAAUCCGACUAGGAACCAUGAGGUUGCGGGUUCGGUCCCUGCCCUUGCUCAGUGGGUUAAGGAUCCGGCGUGCCGUGAGCUGUGGUGUAGGUUGCAGACGCGGCUCGGAUCCUGUGUUGCUAUGGCUCUGGCGUAGGCCGGUGGCUACAGCUCCGAUUCGACCCCUAGCCUGGGAACCUCCAUAUGCUGCAGGAGCGGCCCAAGAAAUAGCAGAAAG
This 4888-nucleotide long non-coding RNA is filed under the name Sus scrofa (pig). RNAcentral describes it as "lncRNA (ENSSSCG00000060138.1)". Lineage: Eukaryota; Metazoa; Chordata; Mammalia; Artiodactyla; Suidae. The record is from RNAcentral.